This 363-nucleotide RNase P RNA is filed under the name Chromatiales bacterium. RNAcentral's name for it is "RNase P RNA component class A". It matches the Rfam family "Bacterial RNase P class A". Rfam says of the family: Ribonuclease P (RNase P) is a ubiquitous endoribonuclease, found in archaea, bacteria and eukarya as well as chloroplasts and mitochondria. The record is from RNAcentral. Lineage: Bacteria; Pseudomonadati; Pseudomonadota; Gammaproteobacteria; Chromatiales.
GGAGACGGCCAGACAGUCGCUGCGGCUUCGCCGUGGAGGAAAGUCCGGGCUCCGCAGGGCAGGGUGCCAGGUAACGCCUGGGGGGCGUGAGCCCACGGAAAGUGCCACAGAAAACAUACCGCCUAAGCGCUUCGGCGCCGGCAAGGGUGAAAAGGUGCGGUAAGAGCGCACCGCGCGGGUGGCAACACGCCGCGGCACGGUAAACCCCACCCGGAGCAAGACCAAAUAGGGGAACUCGCGGCCGUGUGCCGCUGCGUGCUGCCCGCACGUGUUCCCGGGUAGGUCGCUUGAGACGCGCGGCGACGCGUGGUCCAGAUGAAUGGCUGUUCUAGACAGAACCCGGCUUAUCGGCCGUCUCCUUUU